UCAAAUAUUUAUAUUUAUAUAUAAAUAUUUUUGUGGAAACCUAUAUAUAUCUUAGUUUGUUGAUCCUGUUUUGACUAUGACAUAACUGAAAUAAAAUUUUCAGGAAACAAAAUUUACUCUUACUACAUGCUGUACGCUUUUAUCUAUCUUUGUGCCUUACCACUUUGUUCAUUUUCUUCCUUUCUCCCUUCACUCCUCACCACUUGCUGUCUCUCUUUUUAAAAAGCUGUUUGUGACCUCGACUCACUAAUGGUUUUUUUAAUUGAUGGGUUAUGAACUGUAGUUUCAAAAACCCUGCCUUAAAGAAACUUACAUAUAAGUGCAAAAGAGACAAGGAUAAGGAUUUCAUAACAGCAUCAUUUGUAACAGUGAAAAAUUGGAAGCAAUCUUAAGCAUUAAUAAAUGGAGACUAGAUAAAAAAAACUAGUAUAUCCAUAUAAGGAUUUUUAAUUAUACAUCACAAUAAAUCAGUGAAUUACAAUACCCAUAUUCAAUGGAUACACUUAAAAAUAUAAUCCUUAUAUAGAAAGGAAGGUGCAAAACAAUAUAUAAAAUAUGAUAUUUAAAUGAAGAUUAACAUGCAAAGCCAUACUAUAUAUAGUUAUUUAGAUAUACACAGAUGCAAAAAUACAUAAAGAAAUCCAUGGAAAUGAUAGACACCAAAUGUAGGCUAUCUCUGGGAGGGAAGUAAAAGUAUUUCUGUUGUUUAGAUACAUGUAUAUUUUAAAGUAGGGUGGUAGAUACAUAUUAAAUAUUUUACCUUCCUUUGUAUGUAAAAAAUAUUUUACAGUAAGUAUUUUGAAAAGAAAGACUACAAUAUUGACAGUGAAACUGAGAUUUCUCUCAGACAAAAGAGCAAAAAGAAUUGAACAUUAUGAGAGAAAGUUGGAGACCUACCAAGUGGAUCCAGAUCAGUAUCUGUGAAAUAGGAAUUCCAGAAGUGAAAAAUAGGUCCACAUUGGGAAGCAGUAGAUAAUAAAAUGGUAGAAUAAGCUUUUCUUGGGAUGAAGAAUGCCAUCAAAUAAUGUAUACUAAAAUGAAGUUUCUGUUAAAAUCAAAUACUGUAAAAAUUCUGAAUUCCAAAGGUGAAAAGAAAAUCAUUUCUAGAUAAAGUAAAUAGGCUUACCCUGAUGGAAAAAAGAAUCAGAUUGGCAUCUGAUGUUUCUUAUGCAGCACGAGAUACUAAGAAAGAGUGAGAAUUGCUUAUAGAAUUCUGAGAUAAAAGUGUUAUGAUCCUAAAGUUUUGUAUGAAGCAAAAACUAUUUUUCAGGUACCAAGGCAAAGUAUGUAUUUGUUCCAAAGGACUGAACUAUUACACUUAUAGACUUAAAUAAAUGAAUCUGUUAUUUGGAAGUACUACUUAAGCAAAAUGAAAUGAAUCAGAAUAAAGAAUUCUGGACUCAGAAAAGGGAAGGUUUAGGCAAACCUUACAGAUAUCAUGGGUUUGACUUCAUACCACUGAAUAAAGUGAGUAUCUGAAUAAAUCAGGUUGCAGUUAUUUUGCUUGUGAAGGGUCAUGCCUUCAAUAUGUAAAAAAGCACAUUUUUGAAGUGCAAUAAAAUGAAGCACAACUAAACAAGAUGCAUGUGUAUGUGUUGACAAAAGCAAACAACCAAAACCUAAUAUAUCAGUGAAACUUAUGGUUAAAUCUAAAAUAUUGUUAAUAAUGUACUUCAAAGUAUAAUAUUACUUUAGAGAAAAUAUCCCUAAUAAAAUGAAAGAGACAAAGAAAUGCCAACUAGGAAAUGAAUUAUAGAUGACUUAAUAAUAGAACCUAUAGACUAGCCAGUAAAAAUAAGGUGAAAUGGGGGAAGUAAAACACUACUAUGCAUAGCAUGCUAUGCAAAGAUUUCUACUUACAGAAUUAUAGGAGUGGAUACUUUUUACUUCUUGAUAUUUUUGAAGAUUUAUAGAUGGAAAUAUAUGUUAAAAAAUUUUGAGACUUCUGGUAAAAGAUGGCAAAAGAUGAGCUCUCCUAGCUUUCUCCAUUUGUGUUUGAAAUAAUUAAAUGUGUUCUUAAAAAAAAAUCAGGCUGAAAUUUUUCUUAAAAAAUGUAUUUUUUACUUAGGCCUGCCUGUAACUUUUUAAAAAAAUUUUGUUGCUUUGGGCAACAAGAAAGGGUAACAUUGGUGUAGCAGAUUUGGGGGAGUUCUAUGAAGGUACAAAGGAGAUGGAAUGAGAGGAGCACAGAAACAAGAGAGAAAACCACCAUUGAAAGUGAAGUUUUUCCUCACUGGACUUCAAGGGACUACAUUUGUGGUGUUGACAUUUUGAAAGAUUUGGAGUGGUCUGUGGGGUAAUCAUCAGAAUGAUUAAAAAACUGUGUCUGUGGGGGUUCUCCCUUCCUCAUUUGUACAGAAUGAUUGUGUUCUGGGUGUAGUAUUUGUCUCUAGGAUAGAAUUGUGGCUUUUGUUCUGCAGAUAAUGAUUUUGGAGAAAGCUUCUGGUAAUGUGUGAUGGGGUUAGAGAGAGGAUCAGAACAGAGCUGGAGAACUCUACCAAGACACAGGUAGAGGUGAAGGAGAGGGAAAGAGAACGUAGUCCCAUGCAUGCAUUAAAAUACUGUACUCCAAAAGUAGAGUCUUCCUGAUGUUGGGAAUCUGGGGGGGGGGGGUGUGGUUCCAGCCUACAACUGCUUUAUGACCACAUGUUGUAAAAUAAAGCAUGCCUCUUGAUGCACUCCAUCUACCCACAUUCAUCCUGAAAUCAGCUCUCAUUCAGGAAGAUGGCCUCAGAGAGAUACAGAGUGAUAGAUCUACUGGAGAAAACUAGGUCAUUUAGAUAUCUCUAGAACACCAUUCAUAAAUUUGGAAUACCAAAGAUCAUCAGAAAACCAGCAAUACUGAUAGAGUAAGAACUAAGAGAAAAACACCCCUGGAGCAUAGGAAUGAUGCAAACAGUAGAUGGAACAUAAAUGUAUUUUUCGUAGGCCAUCAUUAAGUAUUAUUGACUUAGAAAAGAAAUAUAAAUGGCUUAGGAAAUGUAAACAUAUGCUCAAAUUCACUCAUUUUAAAUUCAAUUUUAAAAGAUGCCAUAUUUUAGAAUAAACAAUUUGAUAAGUAGAUAGUAAUGGUGAGGAAACCAACACUUGCUCAUAAAUGUAAUUUGUAUCUUCAGACAUUUAAGUGGAUAAAACAGCUGAAAAAAUGAGUAAGGCUCUUCUGAAAGAAGCAAUCUACAGAGUUGUCAGAAACAAAAAUCUGAUUGAUAAAAUAAAAAAAUUAAAAGCAAGGGCUGAAAACUAAAUUAAUGAUUUAGAAGGAAAGUUGGGGAAACAUCCCAUAACCUAAAGAUAAAAAAAUGAAGAUAGAACAUAUGAGCAAAUGUUACAUCACAUGGGGGCAUGGAACCAAGUAUUUUCAUUUUCAGAGGAGAUAGGAGGGGAGAGAAUGAUAAAAAAAAAAUAGUAGAACACAAUGCCUGGAUGCAAGGGAGUGUAAUAAGAAUAUUUGAAAAGAUGAGUGAGAUCAAUAUGUAUUAUGUGAAAAGGUCAAGAUAUAUUUUAAAAAGUUGUAAGAACAGUAUAUUUGUGCUCAGAAAUAUAAGCAUGUUCAAAUAUGCACAAGAGAGAAAAAAGGACAUGAAAUAUUAAUAUGGUUUUCUUAAAACAAUGUUUCAUUAGGAACAUUUUUAUUUAAAAAAUGAAUCACUAAAAGUUACGUUGGAGUGGAGGGAAGGAAAGUAACGUGAUGGUAGCAGUGGUUACUUAAGCCACUUAAUUUACACAUAGUCUCAAGUCUGGUUUUCUUUGUAACAUACUUUUCUUUCACUUCUUAGUUAUCAUCUCCUUCGCUCACUAUUCCUCCGCCCUCAUGGAAAUGUGUUCACACACUUAUCUUAACCUUCUUUUUUACUUAGACUAUCAGAGCAGGAGUCUAUCUAAUUUCUUCAUUUGCAUAUGGAUUUUACAAGAGAUGAUACAUAUGUGGGGAAUACUUUAAAGGAAGGAUAUCUUCUGGGUAUUCCUUUAUUAAUAAAAGGUUAAUAUCAACCAAACAUCUUUUAGAAUGAACCAGGAUGUAAAUAAAUUAAAAUAAUCAGUAGCAAAGGGAAAAAUAAAGAGAGUGUCAUAUUCAAGAUUUUGAAGUAUUUUCUGAUGGGAUUUUUUGGGGCUGAGAGUAGAAAUUUCUCAGAAUCAGAAUACUAACAUGUAGUAUAAUCACAGAGGUCUGAAGUGGUGUUCUGGACCAUCUAAAAGGCGCCAUCCCUUUUGAGGAGAUGGGUAUGUUCCUUGAUCUCAAUAUGCCACAUCUACUAUAAACUUCUGAACCCUCCACCAUCAUUCAGGAUGCAUCUCUCAUGGUUGAAGAAGUGGCGGAGGAUGAUGUGGAGUGAGUGCCCGAGGAUCCUUGCCUGGGACAAUUUAUGGGAAGAAAAAUCUUACAGCUUGGGCACAAAGAAAAGAGCUCUUUUAUCCCAUCUUGUCUCCAAUCCAUUUUUAUUCAAGAAAGACUCAUUGAAGACUCCUUUGAGAAGAGUCUGUUUUGAAGAAGGAAAAGGAAAUACUGUUGAGACAAGAAGGCGAACAGACCAAAAGGGUGAUAGAAAAAUGUAUUUUAGUUGUGUGUAUAACAGCAAUGGGUAUUCAUAGAGUGAACAUGGAGAGCUGAGAAGGAAGAAAAUUAAGAAAUGACUGGAUUUUGUGCGUCCUGAUGAAAAAAUGUUGGCCAUCUACUAACACUGAAGACAGUUGAUGCUUUAGUCCCAGCAUUCUCUGUCUCUGCAGUGUGUAGUUAUCAUAAACUCUUUUUACUUUCAGAACCAGUCCUUUGUCCUCUGUGAGUGAUUGGUACUCUUGUUUCUGUUUCAGCAGUGCUUCCAAGGAUAAAUGAAAAAAUAUAUUGUCUGCCAAAACCUAAAAAGUACAUUUUGUUUAUUUAUAAUUAGAACUUUGCAACAUACCCCUCUUGUUUUUAAAAUUCUGUAGAGCUUAGAACCAACCAUUGUAGGGGCUUUUGGUCAAUAAAUAUUAUAUUUUCAAGAUGAAGUAUAAUCAUAUUCUGGUCAGUUUUUUAAUUUAAUAUGUAUAGAAAACUUCAUAAAACUGAUUUUAUUUUUUACAUUUAAAUGUGCGAUUUGUUGUGUGUAAUUAUACAAUUUGAUGUUUUUGUUGAGAUUUUAACAGAUCUUAUUUCACUAUGAUAAAACAAGAAAAUUAAAAUAGUAAAUAUGUUGUAAUAUUGAUACACAUAUUAAUUUCCUACAAAGUAACAAAUUUAUCUCAAUUAUUGGAAAUUUAAGUGUUUUAUCUGUUUUAUGUGGGAAACUUCUUAUGGAUUUGGCUUGUGUGUGUUUUUUAAAUUUAAAUAUUAUUUGUUUAAAAUUCUUUUUAUAUUAUGUAAUCAUAUUCUACUAGUCAGCUUUGCUUUGAAAGACAAGAGGACUUUUUUUUGAGCCUAUAAUUGGUUGUUUUAGUUCUCCAGGCUAAUAAUAUGAACUUUGAACUGUGUUCCUAAUUCUUCAGUCUUUCCUUAUUUUAAGGACUUUUAGAAAGGCAGUGAUCCAUUUUGAACAUAUUAUCUCAAUUGUCAAGAAUGUGUUUUCCUGAGUUUCUCCAAAGAGGAUUUCUUGACUGAAAGUCCUUUUCAUACACUGGGUUCUUUUAGUGUCCCCUUGUUACUCAGUGAUUAUACAUAUAUAUGUAAGGGUGUGACUUUGUUUUAACAUGACAUAGUCAACUGUACAAACAUGUUUAUCUCUGCAUUGCCAGCAGUGACAAAAAGCUAGAAACACCUUUAAUGUACAUCAAGAGGGAGAAUGGUUGCAAUGCAGGAAUGUUGUGGAGCUCUUAAAAAAUGGGUUCUGUGUGUUCAUUUUUUUAAGGAAUGUCUGUGAUGUUUUAAUAAGCGAGGAAAGCUAGUUAUAACUCAUAGAGUAUCCUAUUUUAAAAAGUUGUUUUUAUAAAGUAUAUAUAUUUGAAAUAAAGGCAUAAUUAUUGCUAUAUGGGAUGGAGGAUAAAGAAGGAAUAGAGAUGACCUAUAUUCCCUUUUCAUAAUUUUGUAGUAUCACAUUGGUUUCAGUGGAAGUAUUAUUUUUAUAAUUUUUGAGGAAGAAUUUAAGAAUUGUGGAAAAAGUACUUAAAUGCAAUCUUAUUGCAUCUUAUAACUUUAUAGAAUAACUUAAUAGUUAGAAGUAGAAAUACUGUGGUCAGGGAUGUACAUGAUUUACCAUUACUAUGAAAUAAAUUAAGGUGCUUCAGCAUCGUUUAUGAUUCAUAGGAACACUAAGACAGAAUCCAUUUUUACCUGUAGGAGAUAAUGAGUCGGGGCUGGUAUGUACAUUUGAAAUGUGGUCAAAAUUCUUAUUAUAGGGACUAGUUUCAGUUUAAUUUGCUUUCUUUCCUUAGCCUCAAUGCUUUUGCAUUUGAGACACUAAAUUGCUCAACAAAAUUUAAUUGAGAUUUCUUGUAUACCUUCUCUCUUAUCCCUUCUUUGAAAUGAGUAGGCAGAAGGGGAACAUUUAGCAGUAUAAAGAGGAAAACGAUGAAUGGUAUUUGAAUACUGUGCUGGAGAACACACUGACUAGAACUAGGCAUUGUGGACCUGUUCUGAUAAAAAAUUUUCCAGACCUGUGUUUACUCAGUUGUAAGAUAAGGAAUUUGGACUCAUAAAUAAAUACAAAGGGCUGUCCUGGAAAUGGUAUUACAUAAAUAAAAAAUCCUUGUAUAAUAGAGAUUUGAAUAGAUUUACCUUUGAGGGGAUGAAGUAUAAAUACUGUCCAACCUUGGUUCUUGACUAUCACCCAUCUUAACAGUUAGGUUCUUGACUAAAUUGUUCAUGGAAAAAUAUGUCUCAGUUGUCAAACAAAACUUCAGUUCUCGACCUGACAGCCCUUUGAUGCCUGUAUGAUCACUAAUGUGUCUCUGAGGUGAAAAACUAAGGAGAGAAUACGCGAAUGUGUGUCAGUUUACUGCUAAACCUCCCAUUGUUAACAUGUCAGGAAAUUGUGCUGUGAUUAUUUUCCUGUUUCUUUUUUUUGUUUUUGUCGUUGCUUAUUAUUAUUGAAUACAUACAGUAAGUUACCAUGGGUCCUAAGAAGGUUAGAGAUAGCAGUGAAGUGAAAAGGAAAAGCAUGAAAACAACAAUAGAGCUUUAAAAAGAAGCAGUUGCCGAGUAUAAUAGAGGUGUUCACGUGUCUGGUCUGGCUACCUACUCUGGCAUGGUGAAUUGACGAUUAGCACAAUUUUAAAACAUAAAGCGCCUAUCAAGAUUGCUGAUAUUGCUAAAGGUUAUGAAAGUGCCCA
Molecule: long non-coding RNA, 7242 nt
Organism: Phyllostomus discolor (pale spear-nosed bat)
Lineage: Eukaryota; Metazoa; Chordata; Mammalia; Chiroptera; Phyllostomidae
Exons: 2
Source: RefSeq, a predicted model, not a curated record